UUUCCCGACUGAUUCUUUCUGAAUAAUGCCCACAUGCGCACUAGCGAGGACAGGCUGGAGCCUCUCGAAGUUUGCGCCCUUUGCAGGGGGGAGGAGCCUGGCCUCUCCAGUUCCUGUGUGGUAACCUGAGAUGCAAUCUGUGAGGCAGGAAACCAGCUAGCAGGGCUCUCUCUCUCUUUGCUGUGGGUUCCUGUUUACCUUUUUCUUAUAUUUUUUCCUUUUCAUCCAAUAAAUUCCAUUCCCCCUCACCCGUCAAAGUGUCUGUGUGCCUAACUUUUACUGGUUGUAUGACAAGAACCCAGUGUUUUCUACAACAUUUUUGGCGUCCGGACGUGGGGCUUGAAGAAGGAUUCAGUCCACUGAUGACCCCUGACAGGAGAAAGAGAGGAGAGGAAAAGAAAAAGGAAGUAAGAUCGAGAAGCUGUGGGGCCAAAGAAUGGAACAGAAUGUUGCAAUGGAAUGCUGAUUACUCUUCAGCACCAUUCUGGGAAGGAAAUGCCAAGACCACUCCCAUCUCUCAGAAUUACUCAUCUGAGGUUUGUCCUUUUAAUUUCCAGUAUAGUUUUCAUGGUUCUAAGAAGAAGAGGUAGACUAUUUCCCCAGGACUCUAAUGUGAUAUUGACAGUAGUUAUUUUAUACUGUUAGGUUGUACCCACAGUGGUAUUCUCACUCAUGUAGGGCUGCAGUAGAGAGCUCAGCCUGCUCCACACGAUGACUUGACAGAGGCCUUCAUUGAAAGGCUGCCAUGAAUCUGACUCUAGCAGAAGAUGGCAGAGUCUCAAAUCUAGAGUUGCUUUCUAAAUAGUUUUUUUGCUAUUUUACAAACCAAGUGUGAUCCUUCAUCAUGGGAAAAAAAAAUUUAAAUGCUAUUUUGAAAAAUGAUGUAUAAUUAAUUAGCAGAACUUGUAUUUUCAAGAAUAUCUUCUCAGAAGAUAUCUCAUUAAUAUUUCUCCUAAUAUUAACCAAAGGCUUUGUCGUUUGAGUCCUCAAAGCAAAGACUAUUGUAUCAUUUUGCUAAAAUGGAUUCUGGUUCAAUCUGUCUCACUAAAGACUAUUGUAUCAUUUUGCUAAAAUGGAUUCUGGUUCAAUCUGUCUCACUAGCGUUUUACUUUUUCUUUGAAAAGCAC
RNAcentral lists this long non-coding RNA (1127 nucleotides) under Macaca mulatta (Rhesus monkey). Its description in RNAcentral is "lncRNA (ENSMMUG00000060701.1)". The record is from RNAcentral. Lineage: Eukaryota; Metazoa; Chordata; Mammalia; Primates; Cercopithecidae.